Molecule: ribosomal RNA, 447 nt
Filed under: uncultured bacterium
Lineage: Bacteria
Description: partial 16S ribosomal RNA
Rfam family: Bacterial small subunit ribosomal RNA
Source: RNAcentral
AGCGAACGCUGGCGGCAGGCUUAACACAUGCAAGUCGAACGCCCCGCAAGGGGAGUGGCAGACGGGUGAGUAACACGUGGGAACGUACCCUUUGGUUCGGAAUAACUUGGGGAAACUCAAGCUAAUACCGGAUAAGCCCUUAUGGGGAAAGGUUUACUGCCGAAGGAUCGGCCCGCGUCUGAUUAGCUAGUUGGUGAGGUAAUGGCUCACCAAGGCGACGAUCAGAAGCUGGUCUGAGAGGAUGAUCAGCCACACUGGGACUGAGACACGCCCCAGGCCCCUCCGGGAGGCAGGAGUGGGGAAUAUUGGACCAUGGGGGCAACCCUGAUCCAGCCAUACCGCGUGAGUGAUGAAGGCCUUAGGGUUGUAAAGCUCUUUUACCCGGAACGAUAAUGACUGUACCGGGAGAAUAAGCCCCGGCUAACUUCGUGCCAGCCGCCGCCGUAA